ACUACCUACGGGGCGCAGCAGUGGGGAAUAUUGGGCAAUGGACGCAAGUCUGACCCAGCAACGCCGCGUGAUGGAAGAAGGCUUUCGGGUUUUAAACUUCUUUUAAGGGGGAAGAGCAGAAGACGGUACCCCUUGAAUAAGCCACGGCUAACUACGUGCCAGCAGCCGCGGUAAUACGUAGGUGGCAAGCGUUGUCCGGAUUUACUGGGUGUAAAGGGUGUGCAGCCGGAGAGACAAGUCAGAUGUGAAAUCCACGGGCUCAACCCGUGAACUGCAUUUGAACCUGUUUCCCUUG
Molecule: ribosomal RNA, 295 nt
Filed under: uncultured bacterium
Lineage: Bacteria
Description: partial 16S ribosomal RNA
Rfam family: Bacterial small subunit ribosomal RNA
Source: RNAcentral